AGAGUUUGAUCCUGGCUCAGAACGAACGUUGGCGGCGUGGAUUAGGCAUGCAAGUCGUACGGACCUGGGGGCAACUCCAGGUUAGUGGCGAACGGGUGAGUAACGCGUGGGAAACGUGCCCUCGAGAUGGGGAUAACACCUCCAACGGGGUGCUAAUACCGGAUAAGACCACGGAAUCGCAUGGUUCCGCGGUCAAAGGUGGCCUCUACUUGUAAGCUACCGCUUGAGGAUCGUCCCGCGUCCCAUUAGCUAGUUGGUAGGGUAAUGGCCUACCAAGGCUACGAUGGGUAGCUGGUCUGAGAGGAUGGUCAGCCACACUGGGACUGAGAUACGGCCCAGACUCCUACGGGAGGCAGCAGUCGAGAGGCUUCGGCAAUGGGGGAAACCCUGACCGAGCGACGCCGCGUGGGCGAUGAAGGCCGUUAGGUUGUAAAGCCCUGUCGAGUGGGAAGAAACGCACGGGAGCGAACAGUUCUCGUGUCUGACGGUACCGCUAAAGGAAGCUCCGGCCAACUCCGUGCCAGCAGCCGCGGUAAUACGGGGGGAGCAAACGUUGUUCGGAAUUACUGGGCGUAAAGGGCGUGCAGGCGGCUCGAUAAGAGAGAUGUGAAAUGCCCUGGCUCAACCAGGGAACUGCAUCUCUGACUGUCGAGCUUGAGCAUGGGAGAGGAUGCGGGAAUUCCCGGUGUAGCGGUGAAAUGCAUUGAUAUCGGGAGGAACACCAGUGGCGAAGGCGCGCAUCUGGCCCAUUGCUGACGCUCAGGCGCGAAAGCUAGGGGAGCAAACAGGAUUAGAUACCCUGGUAGUCCUAGCCGUAAACGGUGGGCACUAGGUGUAGGAGGCAUCGACCCCUCCUGUGCCGCAGCUAACGCAUUAAGUGCCCCGCCUGGGGAGUACGACCGCAAGGUUGAAACUCAAAGGAAUUGACGGGGGCCCGCACAAGCGGUGGAGCAUGUGGUUUAAUUCGAUACAACGCGAAGAACCUUACCCAGACUUGACAUGCACUGGACCGGUGUGGAAACACACCUUCCCUUCGGGGCCGGUGCACAGGUGCUGCAUGGCUGUCGUCAGCUCGUGUCGUGAGAUGUUGGGUUAAGUCCCGCAACGAGCGCAACCCUUGUCCUUAGUUGCCAGCAAGUUACGUUGGGCACUCUAGGGAGACUGCCGUCGAUAAGGCGGAGGAAGGUGGGGAUGACGUCAAGUCCUCAUGGUCCUUACGUCUGGGGCUACACACGUGCUACAAUGGCCGGACCAAAGGGUUGCAAUACCGCGAGGUGGAGCCAAUCCCACAACCCCGGCCUCAGUUCAGAUCGCAGUCUGCAACUCGACUGCGUGAAGGCGGAAUCGCUAGUAAUCGCUGAUCAGCAGGCAGCGGUGAAUAUGUUCCCGGGCCUUGUACACACCGCCCGUCAAGCCACGAAAGUUGGCAGUACCCGACGUCGCAUCUCUAACCGUAAGGAGGAGUGCGCCUAAGGUAAGGCCACUGAUUGGGGCUAAGUCGUAACAAGGUAGCCGUACCGGGAGGUGCGGCUG
This 1533-nucleotide ribosomal RNA is filed under the name metagenome. RNAcentral's name for it is "bacterial SSU rRNA". It matches the Rfam family "Bacterial small subunit ribosomal RNA". The record is from RNAcentral.